This 253-nucleotide ribosomal RNA is filed under the name uncultured bacterium. Its description in RNAcentral is "partial 16S ribosomal RNA". It matches the Rfam family "Bacterial small subunit ribosomal RNA", at positions 524 to 776 of the family's 1533-position model. The record is from RNAcentral.
GACAGAGGGUGCAAACGUUGUUCGGAAUUACUGGGCGUAAAGCGCGUGUAGGCUGCUUCGCAAGUCGGAUGUGAAAGCCCUGGACUCAACCCAGGAAGUGCAUUCGAAACUGCAGAGCUGGAGUCCUGGAGAGGAAGGCGGAAUUCUCGGUGUAGAGGUGAAAUUCGUAGAUAUCGAGAGGAACACCGGUGGCGAAGGCGGCCUUCUGGACAGUGACUGACGCUGAGACGCGAAAGCGUGGGGAGCAAACAGG